RNAcentral lists this transfer RNA (783 nucleotides) under Bradyrhizobium sp. 05LoS23R3_45. Its description in RNAcentral is "16S-23S ribosomal RNA intergenic spacer". The stretch from base 189 to 262 matches the Rfam family "tRNA". RNAcentral also lists the same sequence under 3 other names. The record is from RNAcentral. Lineage: Bacteria; Pseudomonadati; Pseudomonadota; Alphaproteobacteria; Hyphomicrobiales; Nitrobacteraceae.
CUAAGGAUGGUUCUUCAGAAGCUUGCUUCUAUCGAACCGUUUUAGAAACAUCAGUGGCCAACGAUCGUCAGGAUUGUUGAGCUGCAUUGGCGGGAUUUCGCCGUCUUCGUUUCUCUUUCUUCGCGGACGAACACGCGCUGGGGCUGCAACCUUGCAGAAUCCCUGGUCCUUGACUGGAUAUGCGUUAGGGGCUUGUAGCUCAGUUGGUUAGAGCGCGCGCUUGAUAAGCGUGAGGUCGGAAGUUCAAGUCUUCCCAGGCCCACCACACUCAUCGAGUGAGCAUUCGUCUUCUGGUUACGGGGCCAUAGCUCAGCUGGGAGAGCGCGUGCUUUGCAAGCAUGAGGUCGUCGGUUCGAUCCCGUCUGGCUCCACCAGAUGGUUUGAUCAUCGGCUGAUCGUACCUGAAUCGUCCGCGAAACAUCACUUCGCACUUGCUAGUCCGGAUGGACAGUAAGCUGCGUGAUUUCUGACAUCGUAAAGAGGAGAUCGAUCCGAGUUGGAUCGGGCAACAAGCAAUUGUUGCGCGAUACUUCAUUAUCUCCGGAUCAUUUCGGCGCUCGUGCGCCUUUCAAUGUAGCUCACAAGGCUGCGUCUGAGAGGAAUGCGAGUUGUAAAUGAUCCUUUUAGCGAAGCUUGACCGCCUCGCUAUCGGAACGAUCUUACGAAGCAAGCUGGUCUUUCUAAUCAUUGUCCGGCUGUGAAUAGCGUUCAUCGAGGGCGCGUGCCGCAAGGCAGUUCUACAGACAACAUUCUGCCGAGUGUGUGGACAUUGAUAAUGAGAGC